GGGCUCAGUGGUAAAGCACUCGCUUAGCAAGUGUGAGGCACUGGGUUCGAUCCUCAGCACCA
RNAcentral lists this transfer RNA (62 nucleotides) under Marmota monax (woodchuck). RNAcentral describes it as "tRNA.Ala". The record is from RNAcentral. Lineage: Eukaryota; Metazoa; Chordata; Mammalia; Rodentia; Sciuridae.